GGGAUUGCUCUAGUAACGGCGAGUGAAGCAGCAAUAGCUCAAAUUUGAAAUCUGGCGCCUUCGGCGUCCGAGUUGUAAUUUGUAGAGGAUGCUUCUGGGCAGCCACCGACCUAAGUUCCUUGGAACAGGACGUCAUAGAGGGUGAGAAUCCCGUAUGCGGUCGGAAAGGCACCCUACACGUAGCUCCUUCGACGAGUCGAGUUGUUUGGGAAUGCAGCUCUAAAUGGGAGGUAAAUUUCUUCUAAAGCUAAAUAUUGGCCAGAGACCGAUAGCGCACAAGUAGAGUGAUCGAAAGAUGAAAAGCACUUUGGAAAGAGAGUUAAAAAGCACGUGAAAUUGUUGAAAGGGAAGGGAUUGCAACCAGACUUGCUCGCGGUGUUCCGCCGGUCUUCUGACCGGUCUACUCGCCGCGUUGCAGGCCAGCAUCGUCUGGUGCCGCUGGAUAAGACUUGAGGAAUGUAGCUCCCUCGGGAGUGUUAUAGCCUCUUGUGAUGCAGCGAGCGCCGGGCGAGGUCCGCGCUUCGGCUAGGAUGCUGGCGUAAUGGUUGUAAUCCGCCCGUCUUGAAACACGGACCAAGGAGUCUAACAUCUAUGCGAGUGUUCGGGUGUCAAACCCCUACGCGUAAUGAAAGUGAACGGAGGUGAGAACCGCAAGGUGCAUCAUCGACCGAUCCUGAUGUCUUCGGAUGGAUUUGAGUAUGAGCAUAGCUGUUGGGACCCGAAAGAUGGUGAACUAUGCCUGAAUAGGGUGAAGCCAGAGGAAACUCUGGU
This 771-nucleotide ribosomal RNA is filed under the name Cladosporium sp. JA2. Its description in RNAcentral is "eukaryotic LSU rRNA". It matches the Rfam family "Eukaryotic large subunit ribosomal RNA", at positions 71 to 868 of the family's 3401-position model. Lineage: Eukaryota; Fungi; Ascomycota; Dothideomycetes; Cladosporiales; Cladosporiaceae. The record is from RNAcentral.